UCGCAUCCUGGGGCUGUAGCAGGUCCCAAGGGUUGGGCUGUUCGCCCAUUAAAGCGGUACGCGAGCUGGGUUCAGAACGUCGUGAGACAGUUCGGUCCCUAUCCGGCGCAGGCGCAGGAGAUCUGAGAGGGGCCGCCCUUAGUACGAGAGGACCGGGGCGGACGGGCCGCUGGUGUACCUGUUGGGGAUCAGCCCCAUGGCAGGGUAGCCAAGCCCGGCAGGGAUAAGCGCUGAAGGCAUCUAAGCGCGAAGCCCCCCUCAAGAUGAGAUGUCCCACAGCGAGAGCUGUAAGGCCCCUUAGAGAGUAUGAGGUAGAUAGGGGCGAGGUGGAAGCGCAGCAAUGCGUGGAGCUGACGCCUACUAAUAGGCCGAGGGCUUAGCCA
RNAcentral lists this ribosomal RNA (383 nucleotides) under Lachnospiraceae bacterium. RNAcentral describes it as "partial 23S ribosomal RNA". It matches the Rfam family "Bacterial large subunit ribosomal RNA", at positions 2540 to 2925 of the family's 2925-position model. The record is from RNAcentral. Lineage: Bacteria; Bacillati; Bacillota; Clostridia; Lachnospirales; Lachnospiraceae.